AUUGAACGCUGGCGGCAUGCCUUACACAUGCAAGUCGAACGGUAACGGGUCCUUCGGGAUGCCGACGAGUGGCGAACGGGUGAGUAAUAUAUCGGAACGUGCCCAGUAGUGGGGGAUAACUGCUCGAAAGAGCAGCUAAUACCGCAUACGACCUGAGGGUGAAAGGGGGGAUCGCAAGACCUCUCGCUAUUGGAGCGGCCGAUAUCAGAUUAGCUAGUUGGUGGGGUAAAGGCCUACCAAGGCUACGAUCUGUAGUUGGUCUGAGAGGACGACCAGCCACACUGGGACUGAGACACGGCCCAGACUCCUACGGGAGGCAGCAGUGGGGAAUUUUGGACAAUGGGCGCAAGCCUGAUCCAGCAAUGCCGCGUGCAGGAAGAAGGCC
RNAcentral lists this ribosomal RNA (385 nucleotides) under uncultured bacterium. RNAcentral's name for it is "bacterial SSU rRNA". It matches the Rfam family "Bacterial small subunit ribosomal RNA", at positions 30 to 416 of the family's 1533-position model. The record is from RNAcentral.